RNAcentral lists this transfer-messenger RNA (250 nucleotides) under Nitrospirota bacterium. RNAcentral's name for it is "partial transfer-messenger RNA". It matches the Rfam family "transfer-messenger RNA", at positions 111 to 374 of the family's 374-position model. Rfam says of the family: Bacterial tmRNA, also known as 10Sa RNA or SsrA, is named for its dual tRNA and mRNA-like properties. Its role is to liberate the mRNA from a stalled ribosome. Lineage: Bacteria; Pseudomonadati; Nitrospirota. The record is from RNAcentral.
UUGGCUCUCGCGGCUUAAUUGACCGCGACGUCUCUCUUCUCUUUGUCUGCGGGGGGGGAAGAGGCGUCACACUGCAGGCUGGUCCAAAGCUGGUGCUCAGCGGCAGCGGACGAGAACUUUCUGGGCUAGCGGGCGCUCUAAGCCGGUCGGUGGGCGUGGGCAACUGCGAAUUUUAAAUCAUCGGCUACACACGUAGGGCUGUUGUGCUGAAUGUUCUCGGACAGGGGUUCGAUUCCCCUCACCUCCACCA